RNAcentral lists this long non-coding RNA (1038 nucleotides) under Homo sapiens (human). RNAcentral describes it as "non-protein coding lnc-APH1A-1:5". The record is from RNAcentral. Lineage: Eukaryota; Metazoa; Chordata; Mammalia; Primates; Hominidae.
UCUUCGGCUUCCGUAGAGGAAGUGGCGCGGACCUUCAUUUGGGGUUUCGGUUCCCCCCCUUCCCCUUCCCCGGGGUCUGGGGGUGACAUUGCACCGCGCCCCUCGUGGGGUCGCGUUGCCACCCCACGCGGACUCCCCAGCUGGCGCGCCCCUCCCAUUUGCCUGUCCUGGUCAGGCCCCCACCCCCCUUCCCACCUGACCAGCCAUGGGGGCUGCGGUGUUUUUCGGCUGCACUUUCGUCGCGUUCGGCCCGGCCUUCGCGCUUUUCUUGAUCACUGUGGCUGGGGACCCGCUUCGCGUUAUCAUCCUGGUCGCAGGGAGGUGUUCCGCUUUGCCUACUACAAGCUGCUUAAGAAGGCAGAUGAGGGGUUAGCAUCGCUGAGUGAGGACGGAAGAUCACCCAUCUCCAUCCGCCAGAUGGCCUAUGUUUCUGGUCUCUCCUUCGGUAUCAUCAGUGGUGUCUUCUCUGUUAUCAAUAUUUUGGCUGAUGCACUUGGGCCAGGUGUGGUUGGGAUCCAUGGAGACUCACCCUAUUACUUCCUGACUUCAGGAGCCUGGGAGAAGAUCAGGGAUGUAUCUCCUCCCCAUCUCCCUCCCUGCAGCCUUUCUGACAGCAGCCAUUAUCCUGCUCCAUACCUUUUGGGGAGUUGUGUUCUUUGAUGCCUGUGAGAGGAGACGGUACUGGGCUUUGGGCCUGGUGGUUGGGAGUCACCUACUGACAUCGGGACUGACAUUCCUGAACCCCUGGUAUGAGGCCAGCCUGCUGCCCAUCUAUGCAGUCACUGUUUCCAUGGGGCUCUGGGCCUUCAUCACAGCUGGAGGGUCCCUCCGAAGUAUUCAGCGCAGCCUCUUGUGUAAGGACUGACUACCUGGACUGAUCGCCUGACAGAUCCCACCUGCCUGUCCACUGCCCAUGACUGAGCCCAGCCCCAGCCCGGGUCCAUUGCCCACAUUCUCUGUCUCCUUCUCGUCGGUCUACCCCACUACCUCCAGGGUUUUGCUUUGUCCUUUUGUGACCGUUAGUCUCUAAGCUUUACC